UAGCAGCAAAGACAGUAUUGGA
Molecule: microRNA, 22 nt
Filed under: Ciona intestinalis (vase tunicate)
Lineage: Eukaryota; Metazoa; Chordata; Ascidiacea; Phlebobranchia; Cionidae
Description: Cin-Mir-15-P2_5p (mature (guide))
Source: RNAcentral